This 675-nucleotide ribosomal RNA is filed under the name Cutaneotrichosporon jirovecii. RNAcentral's name for it is "eukaryotic LSU rRNA". It matches the Rfam family "Eukaryotic large subunit ribosomal RNA", at positions 1 to 665 of the family's 3401-position model. Lineage: Eukaryota; Fungi; Basidiomycota; Tremellomycetes; Trichosporonales; Trichosporonaceae. The record is from RNAcentral.
CUGGUCUCAAAUCAGGUAGGACUACCCGCUGAACUUAAGCAUAUCAAUAAGCGGAGGAAAAGAAACUAACAAGGAUUCCUUUAGUAACGGCGAGUGAACCGGGAAAAGCUCAAAUUUGUAAUCUGGCUGUCUUCGAUAGUCCGAGUUGUAAUCUAUAGACGUGUUUUCCGUGCUGGAUCGUAUCUAAGUCCCUUGGAACAGGGUAUCAAAGAGGGUGACAAUCCCGUGCUUGAUACGACGACCAGUGCUCUGUGAUACACGUUCUACGAGUCGAGUUGUUUGGGAAUGCAGCUCAAAAUGGGUGGUAAAUUCCAUCUAAAGCUAAAUAUUGGCGAGAGACCGAUAGCGAACAAGUACCGUGAGGGAAAGAUGAAAAGCACUUUGGAAAGAGAGUUAAACAGUACGUGAAAUUGUUGAAAGGGAAACGAUUGAAGUCAGUCGUGUUCUUCAGAUUCAGCUGGUUCUUCCAGUCUACUUCUGUUGAACGGGUCAACAUCAGUUUUGUCCGGUGGAUAAAGGUAGUAGGAAUGUGACUCCCCCGGGAGUGUUAUAGCCUAUUAUUGCAUACACUGGGUGAGACUGAGGACUGCAGCUCGCCUUUUGGCCGGUCUUCGGACACGUUCGAGCUUAGGAUGUUGACAUAAUGGCUUUAAACGACCCGUCUUGAAACACGGA